This 77-nucleotide transfer RNA is filed under the name Bacteroidota bacterium. RNAcentral describes it as "tRNA-His". It matches the Rfam family "tRNA". From Rfam's summary of the family: Transfer RNA (tRNA) molecules are approximately 80 nucleotides in length. Their secondary structure includes four short double-helical elements and three loops (D, anti-codon, and T loops). Lineage: Bacteria; Pseudomonadati; Bacteroidota. RNAcentral also lists the same sequence under 1 other name. The record is from RNAcentral.
GUGAAUGUAGCUCAGUUGGUUAGAGCGUCGGAUUGUGGUUCCGAAGGUCGCCGGUUCGAGCCCGGUCUUUCACCCCA